UAUUCGGGAUGUUCAGCGGCGCAAGGGUGCGUAACACGUGGGUAAUUUGCCAUGAAGUUUGGAAUAACUUGCUGAAAGGCGAGCUAAUGCCGAAUGUGACUUUCGGGGGGCAUCUCCUGAAAUUCAAAGUUGGGGACCGUAAGGCCUGACGCUUCUUGAUAAGCCCGCGGUCUAUCAGCUAGUUGGUGAGGUAACGGCUCACCAAGGCUAAGACGGAUAGCUGGUCUGAGAGGACGACCAGCCACACUGGAACUGAGACACGGUCCAGACACCUACGGGUGGCAGCAGUCGAGAAUUUUUCACAAUGGGCGAAAGCCUGAUGGAGCGACGCCGCGUGGGGGAUGAAUGGCUUCGGCCCGUAAACCCCUGUCAUUUGCGAAAACCUUACCGGUUAACAACCGGUGAGCUGAUUGUAGCGAAAGAGGAAGGGACGGCUAACUCUGUGCCAGCAGCCGCGGUAAUACAGAGGUCCCAAGCGUUGUUCGGAUUCACUGGGC
Molecule: ribosomal RNA, 497 nt
Filed under: uncultured bacterium
Lineage: Bacteria
Description: bacterial SSU rRNA
Rfam family: Bacterial small subunit ribosomal RNA
Source: RNAcentral